Molecule: ribosomal RNA, 440 nt
Filed under: uncultured bacterium
Lineage: Bacteria
Description: partial 16S ribosomal RNA
Rfam family: Bacterial small subunit ribosomal RNA
Source: RNAcentral
CCUACGGGAGGCAGCAGUGGGGAAUAUUGCACAAUGGGGGAAACCCUGAUGCAGCGACGCCGCGUGAAGGAAGAAGUAUCUCGGUAUGUAAACUUCUAUCAGCAGGGAAGAAAAUGACGGUACCUGACUAAGAAGCCCCGGCUAACUACGUGCCAGCAGCCGCGGUAAUACGUAGGGGGCAAGCGUUAUCCGGAUUUACUGGGUGUAAGGGGAGCGUAGACGGAAGAGCAAGUCUGAUGUGAAAGGCUGGGGCUUAACCCCAGGACUGCAUUGGAAACUGUUUUUCUAGAGUGCAGGAGGGGUAAGCGGAAUGGAUGGUGUAGCGGUGAAAUGCGUAGAGAUUAGGCGGAACACCAGUGGCGAAGGCGGCUUACUGGACGGUAACUGACGUUGAGGCUCGAAAGCGUGGGGAGCAAACAGGAUUAGAUACCCCAGUAGUC